UGGCUCAGAUUGAACGCUGGCGGCAUGCCUUACACAUGCAAGUCGAACGGCAGCACGGGUGCUUGCACCUGGUGGCGAGUGGCGAACGGGUGAGUAAUACAUCGGAACAUGUCCUGUAGUGGGGGAUAGCCCGGCGAAAGCCGGAUUAAUACCGCAUACGAUCUACGGAUGAAAGCGGGGGACCUUCGGGCCUCGCGCUAUAGGGUUGGCCGAUGGCUGAUUAGCUAGUUGGUGGGGUAAAGGCCUACCAAGGCGACGAUCAGUAGCUGGUCUGAGAGGACGACCAGCCACACUGGGACUGAGACACGGCCCAGACUCCUACGGGAGGCAGCAGUGGGGAAUUUUGGACAAUGGGCGAAAGCCUGAUCCAGCAAUGCCGCGUGUGUGAAGAAGGCCUUCGGGUUGUAAAGCACUUUUGUCCGGAAAGAAAUCCUUGGCUCUAAUACAGCCGGGGGAUGACGGUACCGAAGA
RNAcentral lists this ribosomal RNA (471 nucleotides) under Burkholderia cenocepacia. RNAcentral's name for it is "bacterial SSU rRNA". It matches the Rfam family "Bacterial small subunit ribosomal RNA", at positions 20 to 484 of the family's 1533-position model. Lineage: Bacteria; Pseudomonadati; Pseudomonadota; Betaproteobacteria; Burkholderiales; Burkholderiaceae. The record is from RNAcentral.